Molecule: small RNA, 324 nt
Filed under: uncultured fungus
Lineage: Eukaryota; Fungi
Description: eukaryotic LSU rRNA
Rfam family: 5.8S ribosomal RNA (bases 1-81)
Source: RNAcentral
CAGAAUUCAGUGAAUCAUCGAAUCUUUGAACGCACCUUGCCGCUCCUUGGUAUUCCGAGGAGCAUGCCUGUUUGAGUGUCAUUAAUAUAUAUAUCAAACUUCUCUUGUUGAGUGGUUUGGAUGUGGGGGUUUGCUGGCCUCUUAAAGGGUUCAGCUCCUCUGAAAUGCAUUAGCAGAACAACCUGUUCAUUGGUGUGAUAACUAUCUACGCUAUUGAAUGUGAGGGGCAGUUCAGCUUUCUAACAGUCCUUGGACAAUUCAUCAUUAAUGUGACCUCAAAUCAGGUAGGACUACCCGCUGAACUUAAGCAUAUCAAUAAGCGGA